GACGAACGCUGGCGGCGUGCUUAACACAUGCAAGUCGAACGAUGAAGUUCCUUCGGGAAUGGAUUAGUGGCGAACGGGUGAGGAACACGUGAGAAACCUGCCUUUCAUUUUGGGAUAACUCCGGGAAACUGGGGCUAAAACCGAAUACUCCGUCUCGGCGGCGUCGCUGAGCCGGGAAAAAAUUUUGAUGAAAGAUGGUCUCGCGGCCUAUCAGCUAGUUGGUGAGGUAAUGGCUCACCAAGGCAACGACGGGUAGCCGGCCUGAGAGGGCGACCGGCCACACUGGGACUGCGACACGGCCCAGACCCCAGCGGGAGGCAGCAGUGGGGAAUAUUGGGCAAUGGGCGCAAGCCUGACCCAGCGACGCCGCGUGAGGGAUGAAGGCCUUCGGGUUGUAAACCUCUUUCAGUAGGGAAGAAGCGAAAGUGACGGUACCUAAAGAAGAAGCACCGGCUAACUAUGUGCCAGCCGCCGCCGUAA
RNAcentral lists this ribosomal RNA (480 nucleotides) under uncultured bacterium. RNAcentral describes it as "partial 16S ribosomal RNA". It matches the Rfam family "Bacterial small subunit ribosomal RNA", at positions 28 to 523 of the family's 1533-position model. The record is from RNAcentral.